Long non-coding RNA from Aphidius gifuensis, 380 nucleotides. RefSeq lists it as uncharacterized. The record is from RefSeq and is a predicted model, not a curated record. Lineage: Eukaryota; Metazoa; Arthropoda; Insecta; Hymenoptera; Braconidae. The transcript is spliced from 3 exons.
AUUUGAUCAAUGACUGGUUGUCUUCUUGCAAGUGAUACUUUUAAUUGUAUUGAAGAUACCAUACUACCAUCCAUAUCAUUUAUUGCACGUUCAGCAGCUUCAGGUUUAUCAAAGAAUUUAAUUGACAUGUGGAAUGCCCAAAUAGGCAAGACGUUUCAAACGUAUAUCAUCAGGAUCAGGUGUUGAUUGUGCAUUAGCACAUUCCAAGCUCAUUUGUAAUGCUCUUCUUAAUUCAUCAUCAUCAUUAUUAUCAUCUUGAACAUCAUACAUCAUUUUAGUUGCAGAUAUAUGCUUGCAUUAAUGAUGGAUCUUUUUGGGCAAUAAGUGCUGUUGGUUCAGUACUACUAUAUGGAAUUAAUUCAAGACCCAAUACUUUUAAG